UCUACAACUCAACAACAACUCCACCUUCCUUCCCUCCAUAGAAGCUCACGGCCACACCUCCUAUAUCACCAUCACCCACUUUCAACCUUCAAACAAACAAUCCAAGUGUACUUCUAGGUGCAAUAGGAUCAACAACGAAGCUUGGUGCUUUCGGAAGUUCAAGAACCACUCUCACUUCCUUUUAUCCACCACUUUUCUGUCUAGUUUCUUCCCUAGCCUCGAGCUAGUAAUGGGCAUAAACCAUUAAAGUGAUGCAUGACGUGAUUGACCGACCUUGACUGUUAGCUAUAUUGAGAAUCUA
Molecule: long non-coding RNA, 301 nt
Filed under: Helianthus annuus (common sunflower)
Lineage: Eukaryota; Viridiplantae; Streptophyta; Magnoliopsida; Asterales; Asteraceae
Description: sRNA HanXRQr2_Chr15g0682271
Source: RNAcentral